Molecule: long non-coding RNA, 3098 nt
Organism: Micropterus dolomieu (smallmouth bass)
Lineage: Eukaryota; Metazoa; Chordata; Actinopteri; Centrarchiformes; Centrarchidae
Exons: 5
Source: RefSeq, a predicted model, not a curated record
CGGACCUCUGCUGUGAAAGCUUUUGGAAACGGCUGUCUGUCACAGAGCUGUUUGUUCUACUUGACAGAAAGUUUAAAUAUCUAACAGCAGUUUGUGUAUUACAGGAAGACCAAACGCGGGAAAGAGGGAGAGAGAGUCUAAGUGGAGACUCCGGGAAGUCACUGCAAGAGGGCCAACAAAUAGUACAGCACAUAACCCAAAGAUCCUGCUGCUGAUCAGCUGUAUGUGAACUGUCGACUCCUACCAUUCCCCUGAGCUGAGGCACUUCUCAGACAACCGAAAAUCCCAGGUUUUGUGCGUUCCAUUUACCUCAGAAAUCGGAGGUCGGAGCUGGGAAUGAUGUCACACCUGAGUUGACGGCGUUCCAGUUAACAAGUUGGAAUACCUCGCACAGCCAGCUGUUGUUUACAACUUUGCCAGAGGUGCAGCAGGAUCUGCAGUCUGUGAUGUUGCCUCAGGGGGAGAUUAGGAGGGGCAGCCGGCCCUCUGUGUCACGUCGACAGUCACAGCGCCCAUCCACGGCUGGGCCAAACCCCACUGGGACCUUAAAUCCUGUUACACUGUCAGCUAAAACCAUCAUUUGUAUUAGAGAUGUGUGGGUGUUUAAGUGUGUGUACGUAUUAAGUGAGGGGGGAUAGUGUCUUAAACUAUGAAUUAUUCAUACCAAAAAGAAAAGGAGAUAUUGACUACAUCUCCAUAAACAGACUGCUCUCUUUAUGUCAUCAGGCACGAGAUCUUUGGGUAUAAUUGCAUAAAAGCCCCUGAAAAUGUGCUUCUCCAAUGGCACAGCAGGCACUGGUCAGUGUUAUCAUCGGGGAUGAACUUGAGUGAUGGCAAUUGUUCCAACUUAAUAUCUUAUAAAUAAUUUACUAUUUCAGAGGCAUUGCUAUCCCCCCUAUCAAACAGUAACGUUAAGAAGCUUUACCAACCCACAGCUGUAUGCUAGUUACAGAACACACCAAGCUGUGCUGAAUUAGUCUGGAUCAUUGGUUUGUGAGGGAAAACACAGAUAUGGAUAUGAUGAUACAUGAACCUUAUCAUAAGUGGCUAUAAAUGUAUUUUUUUAGCUUGGAACUAGAGCAAAAAAAUGUAAUAGAGUUGUUGUAAUGUGAGUGGGCUAUUUCCCUCCAUUAUUUAUCUCAGUAACAAGUGAUUAUGGAGAAUGAGAUUCUUUGCACUUCUGGCCCGCGCCUGCAGAGGGAGGUCAAAACUAUUUGUCAGUCUCCAGUUGGGAUUGCAAAUUAGGAUGAGCCUCCCUGCGUGACGACCCAUGAAACCUCUAUUCCUAUCCACGGGGUGACUGCUGUACAUAAUUUGAAAAUUAGGGCCUUUGAUAACAUCUUUAUGUUAAGCAAUACAUCAAGCUGCCACCGCCAUCCUGCCGCUGUGAACAAAAAAAGAGGUGGGUGAAAAUAAGUUUUAAAUCUGCAGUGUUCAGAGCCAUAAAAUUACACAUUUUGCCUGUUUAAUUUUGAGCUUAAGCACAUGGUCAGGCAAACUCCUCGUGAGAAUAAAAGCGCUUUAUAAGGUAUGAUGAAAACAUGUCAUUAACUAGGCUAAAUAAGAAUCUGAAUAAAAGCGAUAGAUUUGUGUUUACCUACAUGUUUCAGUGUGCAACAAAAUUGACAGACUAGGCUAGUUAAUGGCUAAUUGAUGGGAGAAAAUGAAAGGAUAGACUAUAAUAAAACAAUAAUGAAAGUGGCUCUCGGAGAUAUAGCAGUCAUUCCGGCAGAUAUUUUAUCUCGUUAAAGGGUUUAACUGCUCCUAAUUUUAAUGGCGCGCCUAAUUACAGGUCCUGCCUUUAUGGAAGAUUAGUGGUGUGAAGCUGAGCACAUUAGGCCUCUUUUAUGAGUAAAAAACAGAUAGCAGCACACGGUCAUGUGGGUAUGCUUUUGGAACUGAAGAGCUAAAUCGCUGGACAAUUUGUGGGAAGGAAAGCCUAAAUCAGAUGAUAUGUAGGCCUAAACAAUAGGCCUACACCUCAGCGGACGACAAGGUAGGCUACGUUUUGUCAGUAAUUAAAGAGGCUAACUCCAAAUACUACUAUACAAAGAAAGUGCGAAUAAUAAAGCAAAACCCAUGUUAAACACAAGGAUGUAGCUCUGCAAUAACUUUGUGUAGACUAUCUUAGCGCCAUCAUUGCCCCCAUCUAACACAACGUCCCGAGGCGUUGAGUCUAUGAUAUCAAAUUUAGGCCUACCCUUAAUUUAAAGAUAUCAACAGACUUUGUUUUGUGCUGGCUGCUUAAUAAAUAGGAAACAUUUAAACAUCGUAAGGAAAAGAAAUCAUAUUGCACUAUUUACUCACACAUUACGAGUCCCGUCCCUUUGAAGGUCUUGUUCAGAGAGCCUUAAAGUGAAAGAAAAUGUUUUCCUAUUACUUAAUUCAAUCAGAGCGCGAGGCGGGGGCUUCACGCGCAGCGCACUGGGCUCCUCUAUGACAGAGUCGCCUUUGUUGCGUCUAUCCGCCGCUGUCACACACUUUAAUUCGACUCUCUUUCUCUCUCAUUGAAACCCCUCCACAAUGACAUUCAAUAAGGGCCGCAGAGUGAAAACCUGGUUAUUUUUACAUAUUCUUUCCCCCGACUCUGCAGGGGCCCGAGCAAAGGAAUUAAUCACUGCUCUUUAACAGCACUGCCUUCAGGCAAUGACUUGUCCCUUUUUUGUGCCCAGAAAUGACACAUUAACCUUAAAAUGGAUAUGCAUAAACUUUACAUGCAGCUGUUGCGCUCAACACUGUCAGUAAAGUAGCCACACAGGUGCAGAAGAAGAAGACCUGUCGCGCAAAUAAAUUAACAUGUGCAACAAUUCAUUCAAAAGAAUGGUUGGUAUUUAUUCAGAAAGAUAACACGCAUGCAACAGUUUAUACAUUUGACUGGUUUCUCAUAAUCUCACCAGAUACGGGCAUAAUGAACCUUUAGUUUUAAAAGCACCGACGGGAAAUGGUUCUGUAAUUGAUAAUAAAUGUAGUUACAUUAACAGGUGUAAAUAUUUCUGAAAGUUUUCUCCUUCACGCCUUGGUUGUACACACUCGAUGAGGACCAUCAUACACGUACCUAAUAGGCUGCUUAAUGGCUAAAACAAAACUUGAAUACUGGC